Long non-coding RNA from Cyprinus carpio carpio, 1972 nucleotides. The record is from Ensembl. NCBI's taxonomy places the organism in Eukaryota, Metazoa, Chordata, Actinopteri, Cypriniformes, Cyprinidae.
GUUGGCUAGGACAAUACAGUUUUCAAUAAUAAACUAAUACAAUGAUUGAAACGACAUUAAUCUGUAAGAACAUUCAAGAAAAAAACACACACAAAGGCAAGUGAAGAACACAAAUACACACAAACAAGUGAAUAUUUCAAAGAAAUAAAGACUUGAUUUGCUUUCCACCACACGAUUUAUCCUCUUUGGCCAUCGUUAGACACCCAAUUCUAGCUAACACAUUUUAGACAAACCAUUGGGCUGUGGUGUAAAAAAAAAAACAACCUUCUUCAAUGAAAACAUCUCAUGCAAUUCCAUUCAGACCUCUACAUUUGUCUUCAAUUUGGUGCUUUGCUUUGAAUCAGUUAUUACAUGAGAAAUGGCACAUCUAUCAGAAACUUUACCAUAACUUAAUAUAAGAAUCAGAGCAUCUGUUACUGUCCGUCAGCAACUCUUUUAGCACACUGGUGAAUCUAUAAUAAUCACAUCAAAUAUCAAUAAUCUUCAGAUGGACCAAUGUGAUUCAAAAACGGGACACGGACACAAUGAGUGAUUGUUUCAGAGCUUUACCAACUAAAAAUAUAGUUAGGGGAUAGCAGCACACGUCAAAACGUUAUAUCAUGACGUCUUCACCCAAACUCAUGCAGCAUAAACGGCGGCAAAGAUCUAAUAGUGUGUGUGCACUUGUGUAUUCAAUGCACAUUUAAUAAAGGCAAAAAUAAUAUAUUGAGGCACAACCAAUCAUUAAUAACCCCUCAAGUAUAUCAUCCUUAUACUUCAACUGUCAGGUAUAACCAAUGUCUUUUCCACCGUUUUAAGUGAGAAAAGAAAAAAACUCAACCAUUCACAUUUGCAGCUUGAUAUUUAAAAUACAAUUACAGUUUCCUAUAAAUUACACAUCUUUUAAAAAAAAAAUACAUUUAAUGAAACUGAAAAAAAAAUCAAAUGCACUACAUUGAAGCGAAUUAACAACUCUAUUAUUUUGAUAAAAAUAGAGAAAAUUAACAUCUGUAUAUUUCUUUUUUUUAAACAAAUAAAGUGCAAGACACCCAACACUGGCGGAUCAGUUUUAAAUAGUCAAUAUGAGGAGGAAAGAAACGCUAUAACGAUCCUAAUACCUAAUUUCACAAACACCAACAUGGUCAAGUUUCAUAAAGGCUCAGCAAUUUUGAGAAUUGUUUUAGGCAUUUCAUGCAUAUCCAUUUUAAAAUGAUCAAAACUUGCCUAUAUUAUUAGCGCUUUUAUUAGCUCAUUUUGCUUGCAAAUAUAUAUUUUAGCAGGUAAAAUUCAUGACUACACAUUUGACCAAUCAAAAGGCCUGCAAGAUGCUGUUUAGUUGCUUGUUUUAAAUUUUUCUAAUGGGAUGAAUACAAUUUAAACACCAUCAACAGCAUCUGUGCCAUUGCCAUAGAAAAAAAAUAUAUACUAUUAUAAUAUUUUAUAGAGUAAAUAUCUCAUAAACAAAAACCAAAUCCACUUUAAUUGAAUCUGAGGUAAUUUUCCCCAUAGUCUUCAAGUGUAAAGGAAUAAUGCAUCCGUUUUCAGAAAAUCACAUUGGUGUAGAAAUGAUGGCACAGAUGUUGUUGAUAGAGUUUAACAACCAGAGCUUAAAGGACUGAAAUAAGAAGUUAUAGCACAUAUAUGCUCUACAAUUACAAUUACUCUACAACUGUGACCUAUUUGACUCAAUACCACUGCUGCACAAUGAACAAAUAGAAUCGAAUAGAAGGUAAUCAGCGAUUUUAGUCCUGAAUAUUGAUGGAGGACAAAAUCUGAAAAUAUAACACACCAACAGACUACUAAAUAUCGUUCUGAUGAACACUGUGACUGAUAUAUUGUGAGGGUGAGAACGAAUGCAACUUACAAGGCAAACCACAAGGACUGCACAAGCUCUUAAAGGACACAAGUGAGCUCAGCUAAUGAACACAUCCUGUUUUACUCUUGAAUGAUGCACUUCCUGUGUGAGCCUCUCAUCGAAAACGCUCUCAAACUG